GCGCAUCUAGCUCAGUUGCGUAGAGCGCUCGCACGGCGUGCGAGAGGUCGAGGGUUCGAGUCCCUUGAUGCGCA
Molecule: transfer RNA, 74 nt
Filed under: Patescibacteria group bacterium
Lineage: Bacteria
Description: tRNA-Ala
Rfam family: tRNA
About the family: Transfer RNA (tRNA) molecules are approximately 80 nucleotides in length.
Source: RNAcentral